UGGGGAAUAUUGCACAAUGGGCGCAAGCCUGAUGCAGCCAUGCCGCGUGUAUGAAGAAGGCCUUCGGGUUGUAAAGUACUUUCAGCGGGGAGGAAGGGAGUAAAGUUAAUACCUUUGCUCAUUGACGUUACCCGCAGAAGAAGCACCGGCUAACUCCGUGCCAGCAGCCGCGGUAAUACGGAGGGUGCAAGCGUUAAUCGGAAUUACUGGGCGUAAAGCGCACGCAGGCGGUUUGUUAAGUCAGAUGUGAAAUCCCCGGGCUCAACCUGGGAACUGCAUCUGAUACUGGCAAGCUUGAGUCUCGUAGAGGGGGGUAGAAUUCCAGGUGUAGCGGUGAAAUGCGUAGAGAUCUGGAGGAAUACCAGUGGCGAAGGCGGCCCCCUGGACGAAGACUGACGCUCAGGUGCGAAAGGGUGGGGAGCAAACAGG
RNAcentral lists this ribosomal RNA (429 nucleotides) under Chloroflexota bacterium. Its description in RNAcentral is "Chloroflexi bacterium partial 16S ribosomal RNA". It matches the Rfam family "Bacterial small subunit ribosomal RNA", at positions 355 to 776 of the family's 1533-position model. Lineage: Bacteria; Bacillati; Chloroflexota. The record is from RNAcentral.